Molecule: non-coding RNA, 444 nt
Organism: Cherax quadricarinatus
Lineage: Eukaryota; Metazoa; Arthropoda; Malacostraca; Decapoda; Parastacidae
Source: RefSeq, a predicted model, not a curated record
CACAUCUUCGUGACGAAUUGGAAGGAGAACUACGCUCCCAGCUGAAGCGUCAGGCAGCUGCCCAUAGUGACCACUUGGCUGAUGUUUUAUAUGUUCAAGAAAAAGAAUUAGAGGCCAAAUGAUUAUCGUAAACUUGUGGAAGCUGGCCGGGAAGAGUUUGAAGCGGAGGUCAGAUCACUUUUACCUGAAGUGAAAUUAGGGGAAACAAGUGACAAAUUAACACCAGAUGAACUGAAUCUGCUUAUUGCUCAUGCCCACCGCAAGGUCCUACAACUCCAGAAGCAAGUUGCCCGCCAACAGACCUUGGAACAUGAUCGCUUUAAAGAAGCAUUAGCAACACAACGUGAGGAGGACGCCAAACUACUAGAAAAAAAAAUUAAUACCAAAUUAGAAAGACAAAAACAGCAGCUGGAAGUGGAAUACAAGUCUCAAUCAGUACGCUAU